GGUUAAGCGACUAAGCGUACACGGUGGAUGCCCUGGCAGUCAGAGGCGAUGAAGGACGUGCUAAUCUGCGAUAAGCGUCGGUAAGGUGAUAUGAACCGUUAUAACCGGCGAUUUCCGAAUGGGGAAACCCAGUGUGAUUCGUCACACUAUCAUUAACUGAAUCCAUAGGUUAAUGAGGCGAACCGGGGGAACUGAAACAUCUAAGUACCCCGAGGAAAAGAAAUCAACCGAGAUUCCCCCAGUAGCGGCGAGCGAACGGGGAGCAGCCCAGAGCCUGAAUCAGUGUGUGUGUUAGUGGAAGCGUCUGGAAAGGCGUGCGAUACAGGGUGACAGCCCCGUACACAAAAAUGCACAUACUGUGAGCUCGAUGAGUAGGGCGGGACACGUGGUAUCCUGUCUGAAUAUGGGGGGACCAUCCUCCAAGGCUAAAUACUCCUGACUGACCGAUAGUGAACCAGUACCGUGAGGGAAAGGCGAAAAGAACCCCGGCGAGGGGAGUGAAAAAGAACCUGAAACCGUGUACGUACAAGCAGUGGGAGCACAGAGCAAUCUGUGUGACUGCGUACCUUUUGUAUAAUGGGUCAGCGACUUAUAUUCUGUAGCAAGGUUAACCGAAUAGGGGAGCCGAAGGGAAACCGAGUCUUAACUGGGCGUUAAGUUGCAGGGUAUAGACCCGAAACCCGGUGAUCUAGCCAUGGGCAGGUUGAAGGUUGGGUAACACUAACUGGAGGACCGAACCGACUAAUGUUGAAAAAUUAGCGGAUGACUUGUGGCUGGGGGUGAAAGGCCAAUCAAACCGGGAGAUAGCUGGUUCUCCCCGAAAGCUAUUUAGGUAGCGCCUCGUGAAUUCAUCUCCGGGGGUAGAGCACUGUUUCGGCAAGGGGGUCAUCCCGACUUACCAACCCGAUGCAAACUGCGAAUACCGGAGAAUGUUAUCACGGGAGACACACGGCGGGUGCUAACGUCCGUCGUGAAGAGGGAAACAACCCAGACCGCCAGCUAAGGUCCCAAAGUCAUGGUUAAGUGGGAAACGAUGUGGGAAGGCCCAGACAGCCAGGAUGUUGGCUUAGAAGCAGCCAUCAUUUAAAGAAAGCGUAAUAGCUCACUGGUCGAGUCGGCCUGCGCGGAAGAUGUAACGGGGCUAAACCAUGCACCGAAGCUGCGGCAGCGACGCUUAUGCGUUGUUGGGUAGGGGAGCGUUCUGUAAGCCUGCGAAGGUGUGCUGUGAGGCAUGCUGGAGGUAUCAGAAGUGCGAAUGCUGACAUAAGUAACGAUAAAGCGGGUGAAAAGCCCGCUCGCCGGAAGACCAAGGGUUCCUGUCCAACGUUAAUCGGGGCAGGGUGAGUCGACCCCUAAGGCGAGGCCGAAAGGCGUAGUCGAUGGGAAACAGGUUAAUAUUCCUGUACUUGGUGUUACUGCGAAGGGGGGACGGAGAAGGCUAUGUUGGCCGGGCGACGGUUGUCCCGGUUUAAGCGUGUAGGCUGGUUUUCCAGGCAAAUCCGGAAAACUAAGGCUGAGGCGUGAUGACGAGGCACUACGGUGCUGAAGCAACAAAUGCCCUGCUUCCAGGAAAAGCCUCUAAGCAUCAGGUAACAUCAAAUCGUACCCCAAACCGACACAGGUGGUCAGGUAGAGAAUACCAAGGCGCUUGAGAGAACUCGGGUGAAGGAACUAGGCAAAAUGGUGCCGUAACUUCGGGAGAAGGCACGCUGAUAUGUAGGUGAAGUCCCUCGCGGAUGGAGCUGAAAUCAGUCGAAGAUACCAGCUGGCUGCAACUGUUUAUUAAAAACACAGCACUGUGCAAACACGAAAGUGGACGUAUACGGUGUGACGCCUGCCCGGUGCCGGAAGGUUAAUUGAUGGGGUUAGCGCAAGCGAAGCUCUUGAUCGAAGCCCCGGUAAACGGCGGCCGUAACUAUAACGGUCCUAAGGUAGCGAAAUUCCUUGUCGGGUAAGUUCCGACCUGCACGAAUGGCGUAAUGAUGGCCAGGCUGUCUCCACCCGAGACUCAGUGAAAUUGAACUCGCUGUGAAGAUGCAGUGUACCCGCGGCAAGACGGAAAGACCCCGUGAACCUUUACUAUAGCUUGACACUGAACAUUGAGCCUUGAUGUGUAGGAUAGGUGGGAGGCUUUGAAGUGUGGACGCCAGUCUGCAUGGAGCCGACCUUGAAAUACCACCCUUUAAUGUUUGAUGUUCUAACGUUGACCCGUGAUCCGGGUUGCGGACAGUGUCUGGUGGGUAGUUUGACUGGGGCGGUCUCCUCCUAAAGAGUAACGGAGGAGCACGAAGGUUGGCUAAUCCUGGUCGGACAUCAGGAGGUUAGUGCAAUGGCAUAAGCCAGCUUGACUGCGAGCGUGACGGCGCGAGCAGGUGCGAAAGCAGGUCAUAGUGAUCCGGUGGUUCUGAAUGGAAGGGCCAUCGCUCAACGGAUAAAAGGUACUCCGGGGAUAACAGGCUGAUACCGCCCAAGAGUUCAUAUCGACGGCGGUGUUUGGCACCUCGAUGUCGGCUCAUCACAUCCUGGGGCUGAAGUAGGUCCCAAGGGUAUGGCUGUUCGCCAUUUAAAGUGGUACGCGAGCUGGGUUUAGAACGUCGUGAGACAGUUCGGUCCCUAUCUGCCGUGGGCGCUGGAGAACUGAGGGGGGCUGCUCCUAGUACGAGAGGACCGGAGUGGACGCAUCACUGGUGUUCGGGUUGUCAUGCCAAUGGCACUGCCCGGUAGCUAAAUGCGGAAGAGAUAAGUGCUGAAAGCAUCUAAGCACGAAACUUGCCCCGAGAUGAGUUCUCCCUGACUCCUUGAGAGUCCUGAAGGAACGUUGAAGACGACGACGUUGAUAGGCCGGGUGUGUAAGCGCAGCGAUGCGUUGAGCUAACCGGUACUAAUGAACCGUGAGGCUUAACCUU
Molecule: ribosomal RNA, 2906 nt
Filed under: Escherichia coli
Lineage: Bacteria; Pseudomonadati; Pseudomonadota; Gammaproteobacteria; Enterobacterales; Enterobacteriaceae
Description: 23S ribosomal RNA
Rfam family: Bacterial large subunit ribosomal RNA
Source: RNAcentral